GGAAAAGAAACCAACAGGGAUUGCCUCAGUAACGGCGAGUGAAGCGGCAAAAGCUCGAAUUUGAAAUCCUCUUCGGAGGAGUUGUAAUUUGAAGCUGGUUCUUUAGGGAGUUUUGUUUUUGGCUGCGGAAGUGCCUUGGAACAGGCCGCCGUGGAGGGUGAGAGCCCCGUAUCGUGGCCAGCAAGAUUUUCGUAUAAGGGCUAGCGAAGAGUCGAGUUGUUUGGGAAUGCAGCUCUAAGUGGGUGGUAUAUUCCAUCUAAGGCUAAAUAUGGGCGAGAGACCGAUAGCAAACAAGUACAGUGAUGGAAAGAUGAAAAGAACUUUGAAAAGAGAGUGAAAAAGUACGUGAAAUUGUUGAAAGGGAAGGGUAUUUGAUCCGACAUGGUAUUUAGAUGUCGCUUGCCCCCGUGGCGGGCGCUCCAUCUUUUUACUGGGCCAGCAUCGGUGCUGGGCGGGACAGGAGGUUUCUGUGAAUGUAGCCCUUCGGGGAACUUAUAGAACAGGAUUCAUACGUCUCUCCCCGGUACCGAGGACUGCGGGAAACCAAGGAUGCUGGCAUAACGAGCAAAUACCGCCCGUCUUG
Molecule: ribosomal RNA, 583 nt
Filed under: Brettanomyces naardenensis
Lineage: Eukaryota; Fungi; Ascomycota; Pichiomycetes; Pichiales; Pichiaceae
Description: eukaryotic LSU rRNA
Rfam family: Eukaryotic large subunit ribosomal RNA
Source: RNAcentral